This 467-nucleotide ribosomal RNA is filed under the name uncultured bacterium. RNAcentral describes it as "partial 16S ribosomal RNA". It matches the Rfam family "Bacterial small subunit ribosomal RNA", at positions 28 to 507 of the family's 1533-position model. The record is from RNAcentral.
GAUGAACGCUGGCGGCGUGCUUAACACAUGCAAGUCGAACGGAAAGGCCAGUGCUUGCACUGGUGCUCGAGUGGCGAACGGGUGAGUAACACGUGGGUGAUCUGCCCUGCACUUUGGGAUAAGCCUGGGAAGCUGGGUCUAAUACCAGAUAGGACCAUGCUUUGGAUGGUGUGGUGGAAAGUUUUUUCGGUGUGGGAUGAGCUUGCGGCCUAUCAGCUUGUUGGUGGGGUAAUGGCCUACCAAGGCGUCGACGGGUAGCCGGCCUGAGAGGGUGUACGGCCACACUGGGACUGAGAUACGGCCCAGACUCCUACGGGAGGCAGCAGUGGGGAAUAUUGCACAAUGGGCGCAAGCCUGAUGCAGCGACGCCGCGUGGGGGAUGACGGCCUUCGGGUUGUAAACUCCUUUCGCAACUGACGAAGCUUUUUGUGACGGUAGGUUGAGAAGAAGCACCGGCUAACUACGUG